AUACGUACGUACAUACAUACAUCUAACACACACACAUGUGUGUAUAUAUAUAUAUAUAUAUAUAUAUAUAUAUAUAUGACACACACAAAGCAAAAAUAAUUAUAUCUUUUUAAAGAUAUAUAUUUUCUUUUAGGAAACAGUAAUUACUGACAACGCUGUUUGAAAUACUCAAAAAGAUACUACCGUUACAAAACUCCAGUUUCUCAGGGACAGGUUUGGUAUUGCCAGCUAAGAAUCCCAAGGAGGAGACUGAGCUGCUUAAGUCGGAGGGAGCAACAGUAAUGGCCAAGUCGCCUGAGCCUCCUUCACAGUCACAGGAUUCAGAAAAUGGAUACAUCAAUGUGACUUCUCUAAAGGAGACAUACCACACACAAGGGGACCGGAAGCCAAAACUAUGACCUCACGGGAUCUGAAACAAUACUAAUCAUGCCUACUAAGUCAGAGCCUGGGUACAGAGGUGCAAACUGAGCUGGAGACGUCUCACAGAACACCCUGGACAUCAACAAGGAGUCUUCAAAAUCGCUUUUUAAACAGUCAUUAAAAUUUUUCAAAAAUGG
This 557-nucleotide long non-coding RNA is filed under the name Rattus norvegicus (Norway rat). RNAcentral's name for it is "long non-coding RNA NONRATT023549". Lineage: Eukaryota; Metazoa; Chordata; Mammalia; Rodentia; Muridae. The record is from RNAcentral.